CGCCUUAUACUCCUACGGGAGGCAGCAGUGGGGAAUUUUGGACAAUGGGGGCAACCCUGAUCCAGCAAUGCCGCGUGUGUGAAGAAGGUCUUCGGAUUGUAAAGCACUUUAAGUUGGGAGGAAGGGCAGUAAGUUAAUACCUUGCUGUUUUGACGUUACCAACAGAAUAAGCACCGGCUAACUUCGUGCCAGCAGCCGCGGUAAUACGAAGGGUGCAAGCGUUAAUCGGAAUUACUGGGCGUAAAGCGCGCGUAGGUGGUUCGUUAAGUUGGAUGUGAAAGCCCCGGGCUCAACCUGGGAACUGCAUCCAAAACUGGCGAGCUAGAGUAUGGCAGAGGGUGGUGGAAUUUCCUGUGUAGCGGUGAAAUGCGUAGAUAUAGGAAGGAACACCAGUGGCGAAGGCGACCACCUGGGCUAAUACUGACACUGAGGUGCGAAAGCGUGGGGAGCGAACAGGAUUAGAAACCCGGGUAGUCCACGUACCA
RNAcentral lists this ribosomal RNA (485 nucleotides) under uncultured bacterium. RNAcentral's name for it is "bacterial SSU rRNA". It matches the Rfam family "Bacterial small subunit ribosomal RNA", at positions 327 to 804 of the family's 1533-position model. The record is from RNAcentral.